This 435-nucleotide long non-coding RNA is filed under the name Solanum tuberosum (potato). RNAcentral's name for it is "long non-coding RNA (STUB_LNC000596)". The record is from RNAcentral. Lineage: Eukaryota; Viridiplantae; Streptophyta; Magnoliopsida; Solanales; Solanaceae.
AACGACGGACUAGCAGUACGGACCGUAGAUCGAUCUACGAUCCGUCAAUCCCCUCCGUAGCUCCACACUUAGAAUCUUCAAAAAUCAGGUACUGGAACCCUCGCAGUAUCAAUCUACGGAUCAACAGUACGGUCCGUAGAUCAAUAUACGGACCGUCAAUGGCCACCGUGGUUCCACACUUAGUCAGAUUUCCCUGAUUUGUCUUCCAUACCUUGCCUGCUGAUCUACGGUCAUCACAUACGGGCCGUCGAUGGACCUACGGUCCAUAGAUCACCUCCGUGAAUGCCCUUUUUCUGCAUUUCUUUAAGCUGUCCCUAUACUUCCGCGCCUGAACAUCUUUCCUGCAAAAUAUGAUAAAAACACAUAAAAACCAAUACAAAAAGGCCCUAGACACACACAACUUGUAAGUGAAAUGUAUUAGAAAUACCGUAAACU